GGCUGCUGCAGAAAUAUUCUUUCCCUCCUUUCUAUCCCUUAGGAUGGCUUGGUUUUUUUUGAGCAUGGAGAGAAGAACAAGGAGUCAGUCAAUACAGAAAUACUUUGAGGAACUUCAUCUCAAUGUUAGACAUCUUGCUUCUGAAACUACACCCUGAACAGAAACAAAUACAAGAAUGUUUACCACCAAAGAUAAAGUGGCAAUCAAUCAAUACAAAGGAGCUGCUGUUCUUAAUUUGAGAAAAACAGAGCUAGAAGAAAAGUUUGAAAAUAUUGAAAAGGAAAAAUAGACUUUACAGAAAAAAUACCAACUUUAUGACUACAUCAAACUUGC
RNAcentral lists this long non-coding RNA (333 nucleotides) under Gorilla gorilla gorilla (western lowland gorilla). Its description in RNAcentral is "lncRNA (ENSGGOG00000044498.1)". Lineage: Eukaryota; Metazoa; Chordata; Mammalia; Primates; Hominidae. The record is from RNAcentral.